Lolium perenne is the source of this 518-nucleotide non-coding RNA. The record is from RefSeq and is a predicted model, not a curated record. Lineage: Eukaryota; Viridiplantae; Streptophyta; Magnoliopsida; Poales; Poaceae.
CCGGCCACUCAUCUUCACCAGCGACGAGCGGGCGAACCGAUAACUGGGGACUUCUGCAACGAGUGGAAGAUUAGGAAAAUUCACAAUACAGAGGUGUUUGCCAGAUUGUGCCCGCUCAAGAAGGCCCGCUGCUGACUAGACGAGCUUUUGGUCAAUUUGCAACUGGAAUUGAAAAUACUAAUGCAGGUUUGAUAUUGGAACUGGAAAGGUUCUUCUCAAGCUAUGCAAACAAGUUUAAGUACUCCCAGAUAUAAUUGACAUAGUCUUAAAUGAUAAAGUAAAAAGAUGUAUCUUUCUUUUAGAUGUUAUUGUCCAUCUUACUGCUACAGGACAAGCUAGCACAGAUUUCCUACUGUGUAUUAAUAUAAUUUAGUUAGCUUUAUGAUAGUUCAUUAGAAUAGCCAGUCUUGCAUUUUUGUGACUACUUACAGUAGUUUCUUUGGAUCGUCUUCUUGGCUGCACCAAGCCUUUUAAUAAGUUCUUAAAAAUUAAAAUCCCCAUUUUACAUGUCUUUUAUA